UACGAACUGUGCGAACGUUAUUCGGAAUCACUGGGCUUACAGGGUGCGUAGGCGGCUUGCUAAGUAGGGUGUGAAAUCCCCCGGCUCAACCGGGGAAUGGCGCCCUAAACUGGCGAGCUAGAGUGAGAUAGGGGUGUGUGGAACUUCCGGUGGAGCGGUGAAAUGUGUUGAUAUCGGAAGGAACGCCGGUGGCGAAAGCGACACACUGGAUCUUGUCUGACGCUGAGGCACGAAAGCCAGGGGAGCGAACGGG
This 253-nucleotide ribosomal RNA is filed under the name uncultured bacterium. RNAcentral describes it as "partial 16S ribosomal RNA". It matches the Rfam family "Bacterial small subunit ribosomal RNA", at positions 524 to 776 of the family's 1533-position model. The record is from RNAcentral.